UACGUAGGGCGCAAGCGUUGUCCGGAAUUACUGGGCGUAAAGAGCUCGUAGGUGGCUUGUCGCGUCUGCCGUGAAAGCCCAUGGCUUAACUGUGGGUCUGCGGUGGAUACGGGCAGGCUGGAGGCUGGUAGGGGCAAGCGGAAUUCCAGGUGUAGCGGUGAAAUGCGUAGAUAUCUGGAGGAACACCGGUGGCGAAGGCGGCGUUCUGGACUGCAACUGACACUGAUGAACGAAGGCCAGGGGAGCAAACGGG
RNAcentral lists this ribosomal RNA (253 nucleotides) under uncultured bacterium. Its description in RNAcentral is "partial 16S ribosomal RNA". It matches the Rfam family "Bacterial small subunit ribosomal RNA", at positions 524 to 776 of the family's 1533-position model. The record is from RNAcentral.